UACAGAGGGUGCGAGCGUUAAUCGGAAUUACUGGGCGUAAAGCGUGCGUAGACGGUUAUUUAAGUCGGAUGUGAAAGCCCCGGGCUCAACCUGGGAAUUGCAUUCGAGACUGAAUAGCUAGGGUGCGGUAGAGGGAAGCGGAAUUUCCGGUGUAGCGGUGAAAUGCGUAGAUAUCAAGUGGAACACCAGUGGCGAAGGCGAAUCCCUGGAAAAUACCUGACACUGAGGCACGAAAGCUAGGGGAGCAAACAGG
Molecule: ribosomal RNA, 253 nt
Filed under: uncultured bacterium
Lineage: Bacteria
Description: partial 16S ribosomal RNA
Rfam family: Bacterial small subunit ribosomal RNA
Source: RNAcentral